Cavia porcellus (domestic guinea pig) is the source of this 3924-nucleotide long non-coding RNA. RefSeq lists it as uncharacterized. Lineage: Eukaryota; Metazoa; Chordata; Mammalia; Rodentia; Caviidae. The record is from RefSeq and is a predicted model, not a curated record. The transcript is spliced from 2 exons.
CCGGGACUCCCAUAGCGGCAGAGGCAGCGGCCCGGCCGGCAAGCCGUGUAACCAGAGAGACCGGCAGGAGCAGCAGCCGCGGGCACCGGCACUUCCGCCCACGUGCGCGUCGCGGCCGGAAGUGACGAAACGCGCCGCCGCGGGGAAUGCCGGAGUGGGCGCAGCCAGAAAUCAAAGAACGAGUCUCAGAUUGGGAUUACCUUGAACCAUAGCACAGGACUGGGAAACAGCAGAGAUGAAGAAGAUGAGAAUUUGAGUGUAAGAAAUGAACAUCAGUAAUGAACUAGACCUUGGACUUCUGUAGGCUGAGAAUCCAGCUGACAUCUGGAUUACAUUAAUGUGAAGAUAAUAUGAAAAAUAUGUAUAUACAAAAUCAGAAUAUUCAUAGACAUUCAUAAAUUCAUUUUAAGCCCAUUAACAUGAUAAUUAUUGUAGAAUUGAUUUUGUCUAUUUUUGGUUUUGGAUUAUCAGUUGCUUUUUUCCCUCUUGAUCCUUACAAAGUUCAUUGUGACUAUUUCGAUGCACUUAAAAUAAUAGUGACAUUAAUUUCAUGUGCCUACUUUACUGGACCAGUGUGUUCAGAUAUUCAGUUAAAAAUUAUUCUGGGUGUUUUUAGAAAGUCAUUUUUGGAUGAGAUUGACAUUUUUAUCAGUAGAGAAAAACAGAUUGCUUUCCAUAAUGCAAGUGGUCCUCUUCCAAUCAGUGGAAGGUCUCAGUAGAACAAAAAGACCAGCCCUCAAAAGAGAGAGAAUUCUCUGGGCUAUGUAUUGCCCCUAGGCACCUCCACUAUUAGUUGUUGUGAGUCUUGAACUUGUCAUCCAGCACUGCAGAUUUGGAUUUGCUGGCCCUCGAAGUCAUUGUACCAGAUCAUCAUCCUCUGAAGACAGACAGAUACCUAUAGAGUCUUACUCUGAAGAGUCCUAAUACAGUAGUUUUGUUUACAUGUGAAUUUGUUUUGUGCAUUUUGCUGUUUCAUAUCAGAUAAACCUGUGAAUAACUCACAACACUAGAUUAAAAUCGAAUGGAGAUUUUUAGUUUUCUUUUUAAUGCAAAUUUUAAAAAUAUAGGAUUUAGAAACUAAAAUACUUUGCUGGUAAAAAUAUGCUAAAUCAAGAUUUAUGAAGUUAUGCAAAGAAGGUUAAGGCUAUUUUUACAGGGAUAAAUGCAGGAAUCAAUGAAAAACAAAUCCCAAAGAGAGCCACAUACUCACAUUUGUAUUGAACACUUAAAAAUCAAUAGGUGUAGGGGCUGGGGAUUUAGCUCAGCGGCAUAAGCGCCUGCCUUGCAAGCAGGCAGUUGUGAGUUCGAUCCCUGGUACCAAUAAAAAGGAAAAAGAAAAAAAAAAAAAUAGGUGUUACAGUAUAGAGAAUUGGAGAAGGGACAUUUAAAAAAAUAAUUGUUUGAUUUGAUUUUAUUAUGUGUGAUGGUAUGAACAGCUAUUUUGAAGAAAACAAGACCUUAUGACAGCCAUUGCUGAUUUAAUAUCAUCUUGCUUUGAAGUCCUACCAUGCUUUUGUUCUUCUGUUUCCAUUAGUUCUAUCAUGUUGUAUCUUACUGGAUUUUAACAUAUGUGAUAGUAUAAACAAAUUUUUAUGGAAAAAGAGAUAAUGUAGUAGCCAUUGUUCAUUUUCUGUUAUUUGAUUCUGAAUGCCCUGUAAUACUUUCAUUCUCUUGAAUGGUUUUAUACUAUUUUAUGUUCGAUACUAUUGUAUGUGAAGGUAUGCUCAACUAUUUCAAAGAAAGAGACAUUAUGGUAGCUAUUAGGUUGUCUUGUGGUGAAGUACUGUGUUGCUUACAUUGUUCUGAUCUGCUUUGUUCUGUCCUUUUUUGUCUUAAUCCCUUUAAAAUAAAAAAAUUAAAAAUAAUAAUUGUGCUAGAAUAAUUUCUUAUCUAAAUGGAAAAAAAUGAAAGUGUGUAUCAUCUCUAAAACUUUUAGAAAAACAAAAACACAAGUUGAAUCAUAGUCCUCCUUAUGAAAGGCAGAAUUAUAAAGCUGUUGAACAUAAUCUAGGAUUAUAGCUUUAGAAGCUGUGGAUGAGAAAGAUGUGACAAGCUCUGGCCAUAAAGAGGCUGAUAAAAUGUUACACUAUCAUUAAAAGCUCUAGCUCACAAAACAUGAUAAAGACAAUAAAAAGACCAACAGCAGAGUUAUAAAUAAUAUUUGCAACACACACCGAGAGAAUUUAAACACAAAAUAAUUAAGUAACUCUUAGAACAGAAAAGCCAACAGAAAAAUAGACUAGUCUUUAUAAUGUGAUAAAUCCUUAGCCAAAGAGAAAAUCCAGAUGACCAAUACAUGAAAAGGUGUUCAAACUCCGAGGAAAUACAGCAAUUGCAAAUUAAAGCCACACAUCUAGCAAACCAGCAAAAGUUAGAAAGACUACUAUACCAAGUGUGGGUGAAGAGACGAAGCAACAAGAACUUUCAUUCUGCUGUUGCUAGAAGUACAAACUGAUGACCUGUCUUAGAAACAUUUGAUGUCAUCUAAGAUUAAGGAGAUGCUCUUCUACAUGGCGUUCUAUGCUUUUUAUGUCUAGAGAAGCCACAUCUUGAUUGCCACGGUCCACUUGAGAGGUUUGGGGCAGUUUAAUUGACCAAUGCCUUAGUUUCCCAAACACCAUGGGUGGCUGGAAACUUUGUAAGAUCAAAUCUAUCUUCUUCCUCCCUUCCUUGUAUUUCCUGCUUCUCCCCACUAUGCACUGUGUACACUGUUAGUGCUCCAUUUGCCUUGUCAUCAAUUGACACUCUCAUCCUCUCUUCUCCUCUCCCAGCACGAGCUCAAGCUGCCUUUCACCCACUCCUCUUCCAUGUGGCUUCAGCUAUCCUGCAUGUGGUGUUACACUUCAUACUAGCUCAGCUGCAGUCUGUGAACAUUCUCUCCCGUCAUGUUCCUUUCAUGGGUCAGGAUGAGAUGGGUUUUGCUGCAGUAGCAAGUGAUGCCCUUGGUUCUGUCAGCUCAACACGUGACCACUGUAGUCACUGCCAGAGGGAAGAUAGGAAUGUGAUCAUUAUGUGUAUCUAAAAUAUACCAAUAAAACUAAUUUAAACCAAAAGGAAGACAGGGCAAGAAGGCUAUACUCUGUGGUUUCAAGGGCGAGGCAUGGUGGUGAAUUUCAGUGCUUUCACUCAUGUAUGCCUGGCCCAGCCCUGUCACAUCGCCCUUGCCCAGUUGCAGAGAGACUGGGAAACCAUCUUCCUGGUGCCCAAGGACAGAAAAAGAAUGUAAGCUUGGCAGGCACAUGGCAUUGCCUCUGGCACCCUCAUUUAGCUGCCAAUCACACUAUUAAAUAGCCAUUCAAGAGCCAGUCUCUGCUGUGUAUCUUGGGCAUCACAAGAAAAAGCCAUUGCCCUUAAAGUAGUGAGGCCAAGAUACAAACCACCAAACGUGAAGUAUCAAGACUUACAUAAUGGUUUGACGAAUAAUAAGCUACCCGCAACGGCAUAGAAUGACACCGAGGCUUGGGAUAUUAAGUUUUGGUUGGUAAUGAGGCGUGGAGGAAUCGUUAAAUUCCUUGAAGCAGAGAUGUGACUUUUGUGUUAGGUGGGUGUCCAGGAGACUCAAUAAAUACUUUCAUUGAAUUCUUGGAGUGGUCAUUCUCAAAGUGUAUCCCAGAGAUUCAGGGAUCUGCGAGACCGAACCUGUUUUUGUCAUGUCGGGCUGUUUACUGUUUUCUGUCCAAAGGUGGGGAGAGGCUCUGGCUGAGCAGCCUUGCAGCAGUGGUGACAGAAGGAGCUGGACAGUCUACUCAGGGUGGAAAGGAGAUCCAAAGUUACAACAGCACCUUUAGCUAACAAGCCUUUUUUUAUGGGAAAGCACUGUUACUUUAUUACAGUGUUUGUGAUGUUACCAUGUAUUUUUUAUUGUUCUUUUGAAGAUUUUUGUCUUUAUUGUAAGUGAUUCAAUAAAUUAGUUUUUAAACAUUC